CCUUGUCCGAAACAUAAGGAAUUGGUCCUGGCAACCUUAUCACCAAAGGCUCAGCAUUCUUCUUCAAAGGUACACUCUUGACAGGCGGAUCGUGAAAAACUGGCACAAUCACGCAAACAUCACUGACAGUCAGAAAAUUAUCAUUCAUCAAGCUUUGGAUGUCAUCUUGAACAGUAUAGCAACCCAAAGGAUUACGAAGGCAUCCUAGACACUUGGCAUGAUCAUGGCUGAACAGAGAAGCUUUGCACAGCUUGAUGUGUAGAGGCACCAGAGGAGUUGCGACGUU
Molecule: long non-coding RNA, 286 nt
Filed under: Medicago truncatula (barrel medic)
Lineage: Eukaryota; Viridiplantae; Streptophyta; Magnoliopsida; Fabales; Fabaceae
Description: long non-coding RNA (MTRU_LNC003131)
Source: RNAcentral